CAUGUUAACAUGUAAAAUGUUAAGAAAAAGAAAUAGAUAGAAUAAAAAUUGAAUAAGAAUUAAAAAGCCAAAGUCGACUAAAAAUAAAUUUUUCAGUAAACGAAAAACAAAAUACAUUAGGUAUAGAUCCGAUAUAGAAAAUUUAAAAUACACACGCUAAAAGAAAAAACACAUUCUAAUUAUUUUUAUCAUCAUCAUAAUUAGUGG
This 207-nucleotide long non-coding RNA is filed under the name Capsicum annuum. RNAcentral's name for it is "long non-coding RNA (CANN_LNC021659)". The record is from RNAcentral. Lineage: Eukaryota; Viridiplantae; Streptophyta; Magnoliopsida; Solanales; Solanaceae.